GUCCUUUCCCGGGAGUUAGCGAUCCCUCAAGCCCUGCACUACGCUAGUCCCAAAGAGGAAAUGUCUCUACGCUGCGGGGAUGCAGCCCGCACCCUGGGGCCCCGGGUAUUUGGGAGAUAUUUUUGCAGCCCAGUCAGACCAUUAAGUUCCUUGCCAGAUAAAAAAAAGGAACUCUUACAGAAUGGACCAGACCUUCAAGAUUUUCUAUCUGGUGAUCUUGCAGACAGGAGCACCUGGGAUGAAUAUAAAGGAAACCUAAAACGCCAGAAAGGAGAAAGGUUAAGACUACCUCCAUGGCUAAAGACAGAGAUUCCCAUGGGGAAAAAUUACAAUAAACUGAAAAAUACUUUGCGGAAUUUAAAUCUCCAUACAGUAUGUGAGGAAGCUCGAUGUCCCAAUAUUGGAGAGUGUUGGGGAGGUGGAGAAUAUGCCACCGCCACAGCCACGAUCAUGUUGAUGGGUGACACAUGUACAAGAGGUUGCAGAUUUUGUUCUGUUAAGACUGCAAGAAAUCCUCCUCCACUGGAUGCCAGUGAGCCCUACAAUACUGCAAAGGCAAUUGCAGAAUGGGGUCUGGAUUAUGUUGUCCUGACAUCUGUGGAUCGAGAUGAUAUGCCUGAUGGGGGAGCUGAACACAUUGCAAAGACUGUAUCAUAUUUAAAGGAAAGGAAUCCAAAAAUCCUUGUGGAAUGUCUUACUCCUGAUUUUCGAGGUGAUCUCAAAGCAAUAGAAAAAGUUGCUCUGUCAGGAUUAGAUGUGUAUGCACAUAAUGUAGAAACAGUCCCGGAAUUACAGAGGUGAAUACGUGUACAAAGUAAUGUUGGGAAGUUAGGUGGGUCAAAAUAUGCCAUAUAUUCUUACCUUUUCCAGGGGUGAACUUUGCCAUUGACUUUUACAAAGUAAACUCGAUUCUUUUUUGUUUUUUAGGCAAACUCAAUCUAUGUCUGUUACAUAAAAAUCAGAAAAUAUCACCAACAAAAACAGCAUAAAUAUCACCCAUAAUAGUAUUUCCACCCAGCAAUAUCAGUUACUAACACCUUAGUGUUUAUAUUAUAAACACUAUAUUUAUACUACAUAUUUGUAUUUUUAUAUUUAUAAUAUACUUAAUUUUUAUAUUACAAACAUUAAGAUGUUAGUAACUCAUAUUACUAACAGUUACUGUGUGUGUUUUAAUACCCACAAAUAAUGAACAUCUUUUUUUCUUUUGUUUUAAAAUAAUAUCAUACUGCAAAUUUCAAUGAGUUGUUUGUUUCCCCCUCCCCACAAAAAAAGUUUUCAAAGGAGGGAAAAAAUUACACUAGAGCAAUUGCUUUGGUUGUAAUUCUAAAGAAAAGACUUCAAAAAUAUAUUUGGCUGGACGCUGUGGCUCACGCCUGUAAUCCCAGCACUUUGGGAGGCAGAGGCAGGCAGAUCACCUGAGGUUGGGAGUUCGAGACCAGCCUGACCAACAUGGAGAAACCCCGUCUCUACUAAAAAUACAAGAUAGCCAGGCGUGGUGGCACAUGCCUGUAAUCCCGGCUACUCAGUAGGCUGAAGCAAGAGAAGAAUCACUUGAACUCGGGAGGCAGAGGUUGCAGUGAGUAAGGUUCGUGAUCCUCGGGCCAAUUUUGAUCAGUCCCUACGUGUACUGAAACAUGCCAAGAAGGUUCAGCCUGAUGUUAUUUCUAAAACAUCUAUAAUGUUGGGUUUAGGCGAGAAUGAUGAGCAAGUAUAUGCAACAAUGAAAGCACUUCGUGAGGCAGAUGUAGACUGCUUGACUUUAGGACAAUAUAUGCAGCCAACAAGGCGUCACCUUAAGGUUGAAGAAUAUAUUACUCCCGAAAAAUUCAAAUACUGGGAAAAAGUAGGAAAUGAACUUGGAUUUCAUUAUACUGCAAGUGGCCCUUUGGUGCGUUCUUCAUAUAAGGCAGGUGAAUUUUUCCUGAAAAAUCUAGUGGCUAAAAGAAAAACAAAAGCCCUCUAAAACUUCAACAAGACCUUCAAGACCACAGAAAUUUUUAAAAUUUGAUUCCAGUUAAUAACAGAGGUGGUGCCAGAAUGCCUGGACUGCAGUGGAUGUACCCUACCUCUUUGCUUAAAAAAAAAAAAAAGUCAAUACCCAGGCAUAGUGGCUCAUGCCUGUAAUCCCAGCACUUUAGGAGGCCAAGGCGGGUGGAUCACCUGAGGUCAGGAGUUCGAGACCCUCCUGGCCAACAUGGUGAAACCCUGUCUCCACUAAAAACACAAAAAUUACGCAGGUGUGGUAGUGGGCGCCUGUAAUCCCA
RNAcentral lists this small RNA (2264 nucleotides) under Pongo abelii (Sumatran orangutan). Its description in RNAcentral is "retained intron". Lineage: Eukaryota; Metazoa; Chordata; Mammalia; Primates; Hominidae. The record is from RNAcentral.